Molecule: non-coding RNA, 536 nt
Organism: Podarcis lilfordi (Lilford's wall lizard)
Lineage: Eukaryota; Metazoa; Chordata; Lepidosauria; Squamata; Lacertidae
Source: the annotation of a GenBank genome assembly
CCCUGAGUUUACAAGUUCUGACUGAGCACUUUGGAUUGAGUUAUGCGCAUACACAGACCUGAGAAUCUGAAAUGACUCACGUUUAGCUGUGUGGAUCAUUUCCACGCAAAUACACAACUUUUGAGGAUUUCUCCCCAGAUAACCUUUCUACUGGAAAUCUAGCACAUCGUGGUAUCUGGACCUGCUUGGCCACUCUAGUUGGGUUUGCUCUCAUGGCAACCCUGCUGGAGAUCUUUCCUUUCCCCCCGUUUCUGAUUAAAAUCAGUGAUCAACCAUUAUCAACGUUGAGCUUUAAUGACUUGCCCGAGGCCUCGCAGUAAACCUAGGCCAACUUUCUCCUGCUUCAUCCCCUCUGGGUGUUGUUAGACUCCAGUGCCAAGCAGCCCCAGUCAGACAGCCAAUGGUCAGGGAUAGUGGGAGCGCAGGAGGUUGACCUAGGUAGUCCCUAGCCAAGAACCAUGCUGUUUUCUUAGGUGGUCAAAGAUACAGGCCAUCUUUCUUCCAGAGUUUCUCUUGUUUGCUGCCAUCUAUUGUCC